GAUGAACGCUGGCGGCGUGCCUAAUGCAUGCAAGUCGAGCGAACAGACGAGGAGCUUGCUCCUCUGACGUUAGCGGCGGACGGGUGAGUAACACGUGGAUAACCUACCUAUAAGACUGGGAUAACUUCGGGAAACCGGAGCUAAUACCGGAUAAUAUAUUGAACCGCAUGGUUCAAUAGUGAAAGACGGUUUUGCUGUCACUUAUAGAUGGAUCCGCGCCGCAUUAGCUAGUUGGUAAGGUAACGGCUUACCAAGGCAACGAUGCGUAGCCGACCUGAGAGGGGGAUCGCCCACACUGGAACUGAGACACGGUCCAGACUCCUACGGGAGGCAGCAGUAGGGAAUCUGCCGCAAUGGGCGAAAGCCUGACGGAGCAACGCCGCGUGAGUGAUGAAGGUCUUCGGAGCGUAAAACUCUGUUAUGAGGGAAAAACAAAUGUGUAAGUAACUAUGCACGUCGUGACGGUACCUAAUCAGAAAGCCACGGCUAACUACGUG
RNAcentral lists this ribosomal RNA (497 nucleotides) under uncultured bacterium. Its description in RNAcentral is "partial 16S ribosomal RNA". It matches the Rfam family "Bacterial small subunit ribosomal RNA", at positions 28 to 507 of the family's 1533-position model. The record is from RNAcentral.